This 3172-nucleotide unclassified non-coding RNA is filed under the name Hevea brasiliensis (rubber tree). Lineage: Eukaryota; Viridiplantae; Streptophyta; Magnoliopsida; Malpighiales; Euphorbiaceae. The record is from RNAcentral.
GCCAUCUCUGUCAGUCCGGCUUUCCUCCUCAAGUUUCAUCAGCCUUUUAAAUAGAAAACUCAUAAAUCAGUUAAAGAUAUGGUUAACUGUUUCCUGAACUCUGCUAGAUCUUCCACCUAGUUUACAACGUUUCACGUUGCAUUGUUUCCAUCGCUAACGUUUCCCCUUCUCUGUCUCGUUUCUGCUUGACACGUCUUUUCAUAUCCUUAUCAUAAUUUUCCAUUUUCUUCACGAAAAUGGAUCCUGCAGGUAGUCCUGAUACGUACUCCAGUAGAAUUAAGAAGGAGACGUGGAAGCACACACUCAUUCUGUCAUAUCAAAGCAUUGGAGUGGUUUAUGGUCGCCUGAGUACUGCCCCUUUAUAUGUCUUUGGGACAAUCCCAACUGAAGAUUUCCAUUCAGAUGGAACUGCAUUUGAAUACUUCUCCUUUAUUUUCUGGACUCUGACCAUCAUUUCUUUACUUAAGUACGCUUUCAUAGUACUGAGGGCCGAUGACAAUGGGGAGGGUGGUACUUUUGCUUUAUACUCAUUAUUAUGCAGGCAUGCUAAAGUGGGUCUGCUUCCAGAUGAUAGAAGCACCGAGGAGAUCAUGCAUCAUGAAAGGGGAAGCCCUCUCAGGAUCAAGGCUGAAUCAAGGGCCAGAAGGGCUAUCGAAAAAUAUAAAAGUAGUCACUAUGUGAUGCUCUUUUUAGCACUGUCCGGAGCUUGUCUGAUAAUUGGUGAUGCAGUGCUUACCCCAUCCAUUUCAGUAUUAUCAGCUUCCUCAGGUCUUCAACGAGCAUUGUCAAAAAUUAAGUAUUCAUCUUCACCAAUGAGACAGCAAUCCAUAUCAGAUGCCAUUGAAAGAUAUGUACCGGUUGCUUUUGCAUGUGCUGUUCUGGUAUGCCUUUUCAUGCUUCAGCACUACGGGACUCGUAAAAUUGGGUUUAUUUUUGCUCCAGUUGUCACAAUAUGGCUCAUAUUUAUCAGUGGAGUGGGCAUAUAUAACAUAUUCCAUUUCAACUCUAAAAUCCUUGGUGCAAUCUCUCCAGUAUAUAUGUAUAAAUUUGUAAGAAAUAUUGACAAGAGUUGGAGGUCCUUAGGUAGCAUUCUUCUUUGUGUCGCAGGAUCAGAAGCAAUGUUUGCAGAUUUGGGUCAUUUCUCAAAGAAAUCGAUCCAGAUAACAUUUAGCUGCUUGAUUUAUCCACUUCUAGUUUUUUGCUAUGCUGGUCAAGCUGCAUAUAUCUCCAAAAACUUGAAUGCUUCUGAAGAUUUUAAUCAUCUUAGUAGAUCUAUUCCUGGUAAGUUGUUUCAUUGCUUUCAAUUUGGUUUAUUGGCUAUGUCUCCUGGGAUUUUGAAUCCUAACUCAUGGAAAAAUGGCAAUCCAGAACGUCUUGGUCAUGUCUUCUUAUUCUUAUCUCUGCUGGCUUCAGUUAUUGGAAGCCAGGCAACAAUAACAGCCAGCUUCUCCAUCAUAAACCAGUGCCUAGCACUUGGUUGUUUCCCUAGAGUAAAAGUUAUACAUACAUCAGAUAACCGUCGUGGGCAGGUUUACAUUCCAGAUGUCAAUUGGUUACUGAUGGUCCUCAGCCUUACUGUCACUAUUGGUUUCCGUGACUUGCACAGAAUUGCAAGUUCAGUAGGUAUGCUUUCCUGUCUUUAUCUUUUCAAGAUGGGUUUGGAUCACGAUUAGGAUAGGGCUAUUCCUAUGGGGAGGCAACAUUUUGUCGUUAGCUUCUUUUAUAUUCAAUUACAACAUCUAAAGUAUCUGUGAUACUUUGAAAACUGUUGAAUUAGAAGCAAUACAACUAUACUGUGAAUUAUGUCAUGUUUAAAGUAGCUUACUAGCUUGUACUGAUUAAAUCUUUGCAGGUCUGGCAAUUGUUUCUGGAAUGGUAGUUACUACUUGUUUGAUGUCUCUUGUGAUUGCUUUGCAUUGGGAGAAGACCUUGUUCCUAUCAGGAUGUUUUUUAUUGUUUUUUGGGUUUAUUGAGGCUGUGUAUGUAUCAGCAUGUAUGCUGAGUUUGCACGAAGGAGGUUGGUAUCUACUUGUUCUUUCAGCAGUGACCUUCACAGUCAUGUUCGCAUGGCAUUAUGGAACUAAGAAGAAAUAUGAGUUUGAUUUACAAAACAAGGUGCCUACCGAAUGGCUUACAGAUUUAAGCCCAGGACUUGGAGUUUCUAGAGUACCCGGAAUUGGUUUAAUCUACACUGAUAUAGUGUCAGGAAUCCCAGCUUUCUUCUCACAUUUCAUUACAAACCUUACUGCAUUUCAUCAAGUGUUGAUUUUUGUAUCUUUCAAGUUGUUACCGAUCCCAUAUGUGCUUCCAAGUGAGAGGUAUCUUGUAGGCAGGGUUGGUGCCAAAGACCACAAAAUCUAUAGGUGCAUUGUGAGAUAUGGGUACUGUGAUCAAGUCAGGGACACAGAUGAUUUUGAGGAGCAGAUUAUUCGUUCAAUAGGAGAAUUCAUUUCAUUAGAAGAAAAUGAUUCCGAGUCCCUGAUUUCUUCUGAAGGAAGAAUGAUGAUUGUUGGGAAGCCAUCACCAGAUGGAAAUGCUUUGAUUCCUUUACAUGACAACACCACCAUUAAUUUGGGUCCUGCAAACAUGGCAAAUGCUGAAACUUACAUAGGUGCAGCCAGUGAUAUGAUUGAGAAAGUUGGUCCUGUAUGCAGAAAAAAGGUAAGAUUUAUCUUACCUGAGAAUACUUCUAAAAUGCAGGUAUCUGUAAGGGUGGAGCUACAGGAACUGAUUAAUGCCAGGGAAAGUGGUACUGCAUAUUUCUUAGGCCAGUCGCAUUUAGAAUUCCGCGAUGAUUUAAAUUUCAUCAAGAAAUUCUUGAUCAUGACCUAUGUUUUUCUUGAUAAAAACUGUAGAGAACCUCCUGUGGCACUGAACAUACCUCAUGCUGCUCUUCUGAAGGUUGGCAUGGUCUACACUAUAUAAACUGUAUGCAUUGGAGAAGUUAAAAAAAUAAAAUAAGGAAGCUUGGUAAAUUUUUGAUCCUCUGGUAUAGUAGAUCCUACGUUUGAUGUGUUUGUAUUUAAGUUUGUGGAAGGCACACACUUUCUAUAGAGAUGAUUAAUGCUAGAGCAGUUUGCAUUGAACUAAUGAGCUUUGGCUUAGUAAAAACUUGAGUCGUCUGCAAGGGUGUAAGAUUAUGAUUACGAGUUCAAACCUCAAUUGGAGUUCA